RNAcentral lists this ribosomal RNA (363 nucleotides) under uncultured Enterobacteriaceae bacterium. RNAcentral's name for it is "bacterial SSU rRNA". It matches the Rfam family "Bacterial small subunit ribosomal RNA", at positions 975 to 1338 of the family's 1533-position model. Lineage: Bacteria; Pseudomonadati; Pseudomonadota; Gammaproteobacteria; Enterobacterales; Enterobacteriaceae. The record is from RNAcentral.
CUGGUCUUGACAUCCACGGAAGUUUUCAGAGAUGAGAAUGUGCCUUCGGGAACCGUGAGACAGGUGCUGCAUGGCUGUCGUCAGCUCGUGUUGUGAAAUGUUGGGUUAAGUCCCGCAACGAGCGCAACCCUUAUCCUUUGUUGCCAGCGGUCCGGCCGGGAACUCAAAGGAGACUGCCAGUGAUAAACUGGAGGAAGGUGGGGAUGACGUCAAGUCAUCAUGGCCCUUACGACCAGGGCUACACACGUGCUACAAUGGCGCAUACAAAGAGAAGCGACCUCGCGAGAGCAAGCGGACCUCAUAAAGUGCGUCGUAGUCCGGAUUGGAGUCUGCAACUCGACUCCAUGAAGUCGGAAUCGCUAG